RNAcentral lists this ribosomal RNA (253 nucleotides) under uncultured bacterium. Its description in RNAcentral is "partial 16S ribosomal RNA". It matches the Rfam family "Bacterial small subunit ribosomal RNA", at positions 524 to 776 of the family's 1533-position model. The record is from RNAcentral.
UACGGAGGGGGCUAGCGUUGUUCGGAAUUACUGGGCGUAAAGCGCACGUAGGCGGCUUUGUAAGUUAGAGGUGAAAGCCCAGGGCUCAACCCUGGAAUUGCCUUUAAGACUGCAUCGCUUGAAUCAUGGAGAGGUGAGUGGAAUUCCGAGUGUAGAGGUGAAAUUCGUAGAUAUUCGCAAGAACACCAGUGGCGAAGGCGGCUUACUGGUCCGGUUCUGACGCUGAUGCGCGAAAGCGUGGGGAGCAAACGGG